UACGGAGGAUGCGAGCGUUAUCCGGAUUUAUUGGGUUUAAAGGAUGCGUAGGCGGAUCGUUAAGUCAGUGGUCAAAUUGAGGGGCUCAACCCCUUCCCGCCAUUGAAACUGGCGAUCUUGAGUGGAAGAGAAGUAUGCGGAAUGCGUGGUGUAGCGGUGAAAUGCAUAGAUAUCACGCAGAACCCCGAUUGCGAAGGCAGCAUGCCGGCUUCCUACUGACGCUGAAGCACGAAAGCGUGGGGAUCGAACAGG
Molecule: ribosomal RNA, 252 nt
Filed under: uncultured bacterium
Lineage: Bacteria
Description: partial 16S ribosomal RNA
Rfam family: Bacterial small subunit ribosomal RNA
Source: RNAcentral